CAGAAACAAAAUUAUGUUUAUUACCAUAGUCUAAUAGUUCUUUUUAAGCCUACGUAAGAUUUGCAUGCAAAACAAGAAACGACACGUACAAACAGAUUCUUGAAGGAAGGAUGUGAGAAUAAUUAGUAUGGAGUGCUCCCGCUUGUAGGUGAGGACAUCACAGACAGAAUGUCAGUCACGGAAGCCAUGGCACUCAAAGCAGCUUUAAGAACAUCUUGAGAACACCCUGGUUUCACUAUGGAACGCACCUGGAAAAAGAAGAAAAAGGGGAAUAGGAAAAUAUUUAACAACAGAAGUAAACAAAUACAAAAUAGCCUUCACUUGCUAGCGUAACAAUUGAAAAUGACCCGUGGAAUGGGCACAACCUUAUCGAGGUGUCCCUGCAAUUUCUUGAUACGACCCAUGUAAUCUUGGUCCUCAACACACAGGGUUACGGCCUUUGCAUCAGCCCCAGGACCUUCAAACUGAAGGGGGCCUGGGUUUCUAUAGACAUCGUCCAUCAAAAAUUUGGUUCCAUUUUGUCUCAACAGCCUGCAGAGUCAAACAACAAGUCGACCCGAGAAUGAAGGAUGGGCCAUCAUGAUUUUUGAAAUACAAUUUUGAGACUGCAUGGUAAGACGAAGCAAUCAGAACAUUAGUGAAGAAAUGGCUUACUCAUAUGACUUGCCCUUCAAAUCCACAGCUGCUGGAUGUAGAGCCGGUUUUCCCAGUGUCACAGCCCCAUGGCCACGACCGUAGCGCUUAACGGUCAUCAUGCAAAUAACAAAGUCAUAAUUUAAUUACAUAAAAUGUCUAACAGCUCUUACUUUUAUCUCCCAAAAUUCUAAUUCUCUAAUUAACACAACUUGUCCCCGAUGACGAUUUCUAUCCAAUUUCUAUCCAAAAAUUUAGUUUAGAUGAAAUAAAAAGAUUUAUUUGUUGUCAUAUUUUUGUAUAAGUCAAAAAUAAAAAUAUUUACCACUCAUUUUAAAGCACAUUAAUAGUAUUUUUGCACGAAAAUUGUGACUAAGGACAUUGUUAGUGAAAGUUCGAAUGUAAGAAUUGAUAAAAAAUUAAAAAUAUAAAUGUAAUAAUGAAUAAAAGAUUAAUGAUCUUUAACGCAAUUAAUAUGUGUGUUUAUAAAAAGAUGUGGACUGAAUUUAAUCAUCCUAAUGUUAUUUAGGGAAGAAAUUCGCAUAACUGUUUCAAUUUGCUGUACUACAUGAAAGUUCUAAAUAUUUGGUCACUGUUGCACAUAUGUACUAAUUUUUGUUAUGGCAGUCUUGGCACUCGACUUUUAGCUUGGAGUGAAAGACAAAGAAAAACGAUCAGAAGAGCUCACAAGGAUGUGGGCAAAUGAGCUGCCCGAUUCAUGAAUGGAUACAUUCUACACGUCAUGGUAUUAGUCAAUUCAACGGCCUUAGAUGGGUGUAAGGGUAUCCAAAGUACAAAUGAAAUGGAUGUUUGUUCCAAGCCAUUCUUUUAGUCCUAAGUACAAGAAGGAAAAGGGCAAUUGCUAAUAAAGUUUUCGUGUUGCUGAUUCCCAAGUGUAAAUCUAUUAAUUAGUCCAAGUCGUCCUGCAUUACAUCAUCAAUCCAAAAGAUUCAAUAAUAAGCCUUUAAUAAAAAUAAAACAAAUGCAAAAGUACUACGAAAUGUUUGUCACUUAUUUGAAAGCGCCCUAAUGGAAAAUUUUGACAAAAACCGCCAUCAAAGACAAUUUAUUCAGAUUGAUUGAAUAUUAAAGGCAUUCUCUGUGGAAAAAUUAUUGGUCAGUGUGCAAAAUUAUUUUAUUCGAAUAAUGUAUGGUUGAAAAUAAAUUUGAGAAAAAAAUUUCUACCAAAUAAGGACUAAGUGUGAGAAUGCGAUUAAAAAGAGUUGAGUAUGACAAUAAGCAAAGAUUGAAAAUAUUUAUUACUAAUGUAGCGCAACAAAGAAAUAUUGUGGCAUGACAUAACUAUUCUUCAAAAAAAAUGUUUUUAGGGGAAGCCAUUUUUCACUCUAACUUGGUAAUAGAAAAUUUUCUCAUGUCUGAAAUAGUUAAUAAACAAUUCGGCCUGCUUGAUAUAACAAAAUUUUCAUGAAAGUAGGAAAUUAAAUUCCAUAUGCUACAUUUUUCGUAUGUUUUAUUGGCUAAAUUUUCCCUGGAAUUGAUUUUCUUGGCACACCCCAUUUUUAUAUCUGUUUGAGGAAUAUGUUUUCCCAUGAGUAUGGGUUUGGUAGUUUUUGAUUUUCGAGCCUUUUAUUUUUUUGGCAAUCGAAACGAAUUUUAUCCCCAAUUAUAACAAAUUAUAUCCCUUUAAUUGACAUUUUUCAUGAAAAACAAAACAAAAUGAACACCAAAAAAUGCAAAAUUUCAGUAUUUUCUAGGUGAAAAAUUAUACUAAUCAAACACACUGAAUUGACAAUUACCAAUAAAACAAGUUCUAGACAAUUCAAUUCUCUGAAUUUGUUUUCUUUGCACCCAAAUUCUAUUCUUGCAAUCAAAUGAACCCUUCAAUUAUAAUAGAUAGAAAUGAGCUGCAAAUAAGUAUUUCGUACUCAUAGGUCCCUUAAAAUGUUUAAAUAAAAAGUGACUUAGAUGUCUAUCAGCAAAAUAUCGGCUAAAGGAUAAUGCAGAUUCUCUAGUCCACUAUGCUCUUAAGAACACUACAAUUUCAAUCGGAUCAAAUCCCUCUAAAUUCCAUACUUCUGUCAGUUCUUUGCAGACGAGGGAUUUUGUCCCAAUUCUACCGUGGACGAGGAAUUUGUUCUGAAAGUGUUCGACCUGCAAAAUUGUCGCCACAAGAAGAAAUGCAAGAGGUAGAUAGGUAAUAUGAGAACGAGAUCUGUUGAAAACAUAAUUCUCUUCACAGCUUAGACAAAAAUCUUUGCGUACAUGGCAGAGGCAAUCCUCGAAAACAUUAUUUCAAUCUCAAAAUUACAGAAACAAAAUUAUGUUUAUUACCAUAGUCUAAUAGUUCUUUUUAAGCCUACGUAAGAUUUGCAUGCAAAACAAGAAACGACACGUACAAACAGAUUCUUGAAGGAAGGAUGUGAGAAUAAUUAGUAUGGAGUGCUCCCGCUUGUAGGUGAGGACAUCACAGACAGAAUGUCAGUCACGGAAGCCAUGGCACUCAAAGCAGCUUUAAGAACAUCUUGAGAACACCCUGGUUUCACUAUGGAACGCACCUGGAAAAAGAAGAAAAAGGGGAAUAGGAAAAUAUUUAACAACAGAAGUAAACAAAUACAAAAUAGCCUUCACUUGCUAGCGUAACAAUUGAAAAUGAC
This 3248-nucleotide long non-coding RNA is filed under the name Olea europaea (common olive). RNAcentral's name for it is "long non-coding RNA (OEUR_LNC015650)". The record is from RNAcentral. Lineage: Eukaryota; Viridiplantae; Streptophyta; Magnoliopsida; Lamiales; Oleaceae.